Molecule: ribosomal RNA, 238 nt
Filed under: uncultured bacterium
Lineage: Bacteria
Description: partial 16S ribosomal RNA
Rfam family: Bacterial small subunit ribosomal RNA
Source: RNAcentral
CGGCGGACGGGUGAGUAACGCGUGGGUAACCUACCCUGUACACACGGAUAACAUACCGAAAGGUAUGCUAAUACGGGAUAAUAUAUUUGAGAGGCAUCUCUUGAAUAUCAAAGGUGAGCCAGUACAGGAUGGACCCGCGUCUGAUUAGCCAGUUGGUAAGGUAACGGCUUACCAAGGCGACGAUCAGUAGCCGACCUGAGAGGGUGAUCGGCCACAUUGGAACUGAGACACGGUCCAA